CUACGGGCGGCAGCAGUGAGGAAUAUUGCACAAUGGGGGGAACCCUGAUGCAGCAACGCCGCGUGGAGGAUGACGCAUUUCGGUGUGUAAACUCCUUUUAUAUGUCAAGAAAAUGACGGUAGCAUAUGAAUAAGCACCGGCUAACUCCGUGCCAGCAGCCGCGGUAAUACGGAGGGUGCAAGCGUUACUCGGAAUCACUGGGCGUAAAGGACGCGUAGGCGGGUUGGAAAGUCAGGUGUGAUAUCCUACAGCUUAACUGUAGAACUGCACUUGAAACUUCUAAUCUAGAGUAUGGGAGGGGUAGAUGGAAUUAGUGGUGUAGGGGUAAAAUCCGUAGAUAUCACUAGGAAUACCUAAAGCGAAGGCGAUCUCCUGGAACAUUACUGACGCUAAGGCGUGAAAGUGUGGGGAGCAAACAGGAUUAGAUACCCGCGUAGUC
Molecule: ribosomal RNA, 439 nt
Filed under: uncultured bacterium
Lineage: Bacteria
Description: partial 16S ribosomal RNA
Rfam family: Bacterial small subunit ribosomal RNA
Source: RNAcentral